RNAcentral lists this transfer RNA (71 nucleotides) under Phrynosoma platyrhinos (Desert horned lizard). RNAcentral's name for it is "tRNA-OTHER". Lineage: Eukaryota; Metazoa; Chordata; Lepidosauria; Squamata; Phrynosomatidae. The record is from RNAcentral.
GCCAGCGUGGCAUAGUGGUUUGAACAUUGGACUAGGACUCUGGAGACCAGGGUUCGAAUUCCGGCUUGACC